UACGGCUCAGUAACACGUCGAUAAUCUGCCCUGAGGUCAGUGAUAGCCACGCGAAAGUGUGGGUAAACACCGAUAGGUAACGAGCACUGCAACGUCUCAUUACUCAAAUUCGUGCCUCAGGAUGAGUCGGCGGCUGAUUAGGUAGUUGGCGGGGUAACGGCCCACCAAGCCUUGGAUCAGUACGGGCCAUGAAAGUGGUAGCCCGGAGAGGGACACUGAGAUACUGGUCCCAGCCCUACGGGGUGCAGCAGGCGCGCAAACUCUCCAAUGUGCGAAAGCGUGAGAGGGGAACUCCUAGUGCUUACGGUUUAUCCGUAGGCUUUUGCCAUGUGUAAAUAGCAUGGCGAAUAAGUGGUGGGUAAGACUGGUGCCAGCCGCCGCGGUAACACCAGCGCCACAAGUGGCCAUCGCGAUUAUUGGGCCUAAAGCGUUCGUAGUCGGUUCGGUGCAUCCUCUGUGAAAUCGCUGCGCUUAACGUAGCGGCAUGCGGAGGACACGACCGAGCUCGAGACCGGGAGGCGUUGAGGGUAUUCCAGGGGGACCGGUAAAAUGGUAUAAUCCCUGGAGGACCACCUGUGGCGAAGGCGCUCAACGAGAACGGAUCUGACGAUGAGGAACGAAAGCCAGGGGAGCAAACCGGAUUAGAUACCCGAGUAGUCCUGGCCGUAAACGCUGUCAGCUAGGUGUUGCAGUGAUCUGGAGUCACUGCAGUAUCGGAGCGAAGGUAUUAAGCUGACCGCCUGGGAAGUACGGUCGCAA
Molecule: ribosomal RNA, 759 nt
Filed under: uncultured archaeon
Lineage: Archaea
Description: bacterial SSU rRNA
Rfam family: Archaeal small subunit ribosomal RNA
Source: RNAcentral